Small nucleolar RNA from Scomber japonicus (chub mackerel), 92 nucleotides. The record is from RefSeq and is a predicted model, not a curated record. Lineage: Eukaryota; Metazoa; Chordata; Actinopteri; Scombriformes; Scombridae.
UUUCUCCCCUGAUGACUUGCACUGGGCUCUGAGUCAGUAUGAAGACAAAAGUGCACCUCUGGCCCUGACAAGCCAGAGUUACUGAGGAGAAA